UGCGCAGGCUCCUCACGUCCGCCAGCUUCGCCUUCUCUGCCGCACCUCAAUUGGGUCAUUCCGAGAAUUGGCUGAAGAAGACGACCACGACUACGAGGCUUGGCGAGAUCGAUUAAGAAUCCGGCAUUCCUGGAGCACAUCUCAAGCGUAAGGCGAGAGAGAGUUUCUGUGCUUGCGUUAGAUUCGGAACUGACUUCUCUGUUUUCGUGGCUGUUUUAUUCACAAUUCACCGUGAAGAAUUACGUUCGAAUUUUCAUAUUUGUAACCUUGACUGUCGCUUAUGCCUUAAUUCUUACCAGUCCUGCAUUCUCCUUCAUGCUUCCAUUUCCUAGCUCUGUUCAAGUUCCUGCUCCGGGAUUUUUUCCUUGUGUGGGGUCGCUGUACAGUUAUGUUCUAGUUUAAGUUUUGGCCAGAUUUAUGGUUUAAAUGUAAG
This 433-nucleotide long non-coding RNA is filed under the name Physcomitrium patens. RNAcentral describes it as "long non-coding RNA (PPAT_LNC011627)". The record is from RNAcentral. Lineage: Eukaryota; Viridiplantae; Streptophyta; Bryopsida; Funariales; Funariaceae.